UUGUACCAAAGGGAGCGAGUCCUCCAGAGUCCAGUGAAGCAGCUGUUGGCCUCCCCAGGACCACGGAGGCCUGUCAGCUCCCACCUGGGCAGAGAUGGGCUCCAGGUUACCGCCAGCAGCGCUCUCCUUAAAGCAGUUCCUACAGAGGCAGAAAGUUCUGGGAGUUUAUAGAAGCAUGCUGAGGACCAUCCGCCAGGUUCCGGACGAGGCGGACAGGAAGUACCUGAGAGACUGGACCAGGGAGGAAUUCAAGAGGAACAAGAACGCCACCAACCAGGAUGCUAUCCGCAUGAUGAUCACACAGGCCACCAACCACCUGGAGGAGCUGCAGAAGUCUCUGUUGCUGGCGAGAAGCUGACCUCUGCAUUCUUCAGGAGUGUUCUUUACUUUUCUUCAGUGAAGAAAAUCAGAAUUUCAGUUGGAUUGACAGUAUGACACACCACCUGGUGGCCCUGUGCGUUCAUAACGUCCAUGUAUGAGUCCAGUGCAGCAUCAGCCAAUCAGUCGCUCCUGCAGAGCCCAGUGCUCCAUCCUCUGCAGACACUCGCUUUUCUCUGCAGAAACUCUUUCCACCGUCAUCUUAUCCAGAG
Molecule: RNA transcript, 590 nt
Organism: Poecilia reticulata (guppy)
Lineage: Eukaryota; Metazoa; Chordata; Actinopteri; Cyprinodontiformes; Poeciliidae
Gene: lyrm2
Gene name: LYR motif containing 2
Source: RefSeq, a predicted model, not a curated record